CGCGUAAACGGUUUCUGUGAGUUCUCAAUUUUUAUUGGCGUUUGUUUCGUUAUCUUGGUUCUCUUUUUUCUCCAUCCCAGACCUGAAUUAAUUUUGGAGACCAGACGAUAAUUAUCAGUAUUGUAUUAAGAACUUCUCAUGACCCUUGUAUCUUGGACCAGCUCUCUUAGUCUUUGGUCCGCAACAACGAAAUCACUUAUACUGUGGAUAUUUCCGUUACAUCAGCAUAUUCGACAAUCUACAUUUGAACAACAUUGAUGCAGAAAAUACUUAGAAUUUGGCUUUGAUACAGUCGAUAUUGUGCUGCAAAUUUAAGGAAAUCACAGAUGUCAAAAAUGUCUCCCAGAAUUUCGAUAGUCUGAACAGGAUGCAGACUAUUAUAGAAGAUUUGUUUCGGAGAGAAGAAUCUUCUUUUGCGCAGCUGAAAUGACAAAGGAAUAAUUAGAAGACACAAUUUCAACAAAGAAAUGAAGUACAUUAACGUCGGAGAGGUAUAUGUUUGCAAAAUUGGAAAGCCUAGAGCAAACUGUUUAGUGCGUUGUAAUUGUAACUUUAGACUUUCUCUCAAAAAUUCGGUUUCGGGACGUCGAAAAACUUCGUUAAAAAAAUGUUGUAUGAUCCGGUGCAUAAUAUAAGAAAAUUCUGCAUUCUACGUAACAUCGC
Molecule: long non-coding RNA, 663 nt
Organism: Belonocnema kinseyi
Lineage: Eukaryota; Metazoa; Arthropoda; Insecta; Hymenoptera; Cynipidae
Exons: 3
Source: RefSeq, a predicted model, not a curated record